GAGGAUAUGGCUCAGUGGCAGAGUGCUCACCUAGCAUGUGUGAGGCACUGGGUUCAAUUCUCAGUACCACA
RNAcentral lists this transfer RNA (71 nucleotides) under Marmota monax (woodchuck). It matches the Rfam family "tRNA". From Rfam's summary of the family: Transfer RNA (tRNA) molecules are approximately 80 nucleotides in length. Their secondary structure includes four short double-helical elements and three loops (D, anti-codon, and T loops). The record is from Rfam by way of RNAcentral. Lineage: Eukaryota; Metazoa; Chordata; Mammalia; Rodentia; Sciuridae.